This 759-nucleotide ribosomal RNA is filed under the name Candida albicans. RNAcentral describes it as "eukaryotic LSU rRNA". It matches the Rfam family "Eukaryotic large subunit ribosomal RNA", at positions 114 to 892 of the family's 3401-position model. The record is from RNAcentral. Lineage: Eukaryota; Fungi; Ascomycota; Pichiomycetes; Serinales; Debaryomycetaceae.
UUUGAAAUCUGGCGUCUUUGGCGUCCGAGUUGUAAUUUGAAGAAGGUAUCUUUGGGCCCGGCUCUUGUCUAUGUUCCUUGGAACAGGACGUCACAGAGGGUGAGAAUCCCGUGCGAUGAGAUGACCCGGGUCUGUGUAAAGUUCCUUCGACGAGUCGAGUUGUUUGGGAAUGCAGCUCUAAGUGGGUGGUAAAUUCCAUCUAAAGCUAAAUAUUGGCGAGAGACCGAUAGCGAACAAGUACAGUGAUGGAAAGAUGAAAAGAACUUUGAAAAGAGAGUGAAAAAGUACGUGAAAUUGUUGAAAGGGAAGGGCUUGAGAUCAGACUUGGUAUUUUGCAUGCUGCUCUCUCGGGGGCGGCCGCUGCGGUUUACCGGGCCAGCAUCGGUUUGGAGCGGCAGGAUAAUGGCGGAGGAAUGUGGCACGGCUUCUGCUGUGUGUUAUAGCCUCUGACGAUACUGCCAGCCUAGACCGAGGACUGCGGUUUUUACCUAGGAUGUUGGCAUAAUGAUCUUAAGUCGCCCGUCUUGAAACACGGACCAAGGAGUCUAACGUCUAUGCGAGUGUUUGGGUGUAAAACCCGUACGCGUAAUGAAAGUGAACGAAGGUGGGGGCCCAUUAGGGUGCACCAUCGACCGAUCCUGAUGUGUUCGGAUGGAUUUGAGUAAGAGCAUAGCUGUUGGGACCCGAAAGAUGGUGAACUAUGCCUGAAUAGGGUGAAGCCAGAGAAACUCUGGUGGAGGCUCGUAGCGGUUCUGACGU